This 1725-nucleotide long non-coding RNA is filed under the name Rattus norvegicus (Norway rat). RNAcentral's name for it is "long non-coding RNA NONRATT020674". The record is from RNAcentral. Lineage: Eukaryota; Metazoa; Chordata; Mammalia; Rodentia; Muridae.
UACCUGGGCUGGAGCCACCUGUUGCCCAGCGCCUCCCAUCUCACACGGAAUCUGUGACUUCAAACCGCACAGACUCUCUCACGGGGGAAGACUCUCUCCUUGACUGUUCUCUGCUUUCUAACCCUACUGCUGACCUUCUGGACGAGUUUGCCCCCAUAGCACUCUCUGCUUCCACUCAUAAAGCUGCAGAAGAUAGUAAUCUCAUCUCAGGGUUUGGUGUCGCUGAGGGCUCCGAAAAGGUGGCAGAAGAUGAGUUUGACCCUAUUCCUGUACUGAUAACCAAAAACACACAAGGUGGGCACUCUAGGAACAGCAGUGGGAGCUCUGAGUCCAGUCUUCCCAACCUAGCCAGGUCUUUGCUGCUGGUGGAUCAGCUCAUAGACCUGUAGCCGUGAGCCAGGAGCAGACACAGUUCUGUAACCUUCAUGCCGUAAUAUACAUUUUCAUUACGGAGUUAUGAGAAAAAUGAUUUUUUUUUUAAAUCUGCAAAUAAGGGGCCCUCAAGCUCCUUUCUCCUACCCCUUUCCUUCUCCUAUAGAAAUGAUAAGGAAAGAAAAAUCUCUGCCCCUCCAGAUCCAUCCCUUGGCCAGCUCCUCUCGUUAGUGUGCUGUGUUUUCUCAUUCCCCAUCUUCAAUAGCAUUAUCUUAACUCAAGCGCUAACCGCCCUGAGCUUCACCUCUGCUGGAAUCCACUCACAGAAGCUUGGCUGUCACUGAGCCUGUGCUGAACACUUUUUGUCUCAUUCUUGCUAGGAAUGGCCCCGUGUCAGUCCUGUAGCCCGUCUCCCAGAUGCUGAUGAAUGUGUGUCCAUCCUGCUUUUUAUCCUGAUGCACUCAUGAGGACAGGGCAGCUAUGGCUGGUCUCACCCCAGGCAGAAGUCUGGAGAAGGCCAUGCAGUUUCAACAGGGCAGACCCAGUAGGAUGUGUUUGUGAAGAGAAAGUGAGCUCAGCUCUAGCCAGCCAACUUUGACCUUGUUUGAGCCAAGGGAUCUUACACCCCAUGUGCAGCCUUCUUGGCAUUUGUCUAGCUAUCUGGCUUCCAUUGAAUCGUGGUUUCUCAAAUCUAGAGGUGUGACUGCAAGUGUUUGUGAUCCUUGAAUAAAUGUGUAUGUGAUAUAAACACCAAGCAUUGCCAUCCUUCCAUGUUACCUGGCCCAAGCUGGGAUCUCAGAAUCAGACCAAAACAAGACAGUGGUGGGAACAUGAUACCUUUUACUAGAAGACUUUUCAUGGGGGGUGGAGGGGAAGGGAAGGAAUUGUAGCAGAAACAGAUGUAUUUUUCUUGUGAUUUUUUUAUUUUGAAUCAAAUAUUGUAAAUUGUGUAUAAAUGAAGAUGCUGAAUAGUUCUGUUUCCACUUGGCAUUUCAAGUCUGACAUCAGAUGUCUGUACAGGGUUUUGCUCUUUCCUGUGUAUAACCAUAUAGCAGUCCUAGAGUGGUGGAGUUAUGUCUUGCUGGAAGCUUUCAGCAGCCUCUGUCUCUGUAUACCCGGGCAUGUUGUUUAUUUUCAGAUCAUCAGAAAUAAGUGUGCCGGGCACAGUUCGGCUGGCUGCUUACCUUCUCUCUGGUGUUUAAGUCGAAGGCUGAAGCUGAUGAAAUAUGUGCGGCUGGCUUUCCUUGGCUUCCUAGAUUUCAAAGACCAAACAAAGAAUAGUUCUUCACUAACCUUAGACUGUUGUUAUAGAGUUAAAUAGAGGCUCUGCACUUGCUCUACAACAUGCCUCCU